This is an RNA transcript of Olea europaea var. sylvestris, 2562 nucleotides long. RefSeq lists it as uncharacterized. The record is from RefSeq and is a predicted model, not a curated record. Lineage: Eukaryota; Viridiplantae; Streptophyta; Magnoliopsida; Lamiales; Oleaceae. The transcript is spliced from 3 exons.
UUUUCAGUACGUCCGAUAUGAAAAAGAUAAGAGGCCGAUGUGGGCCCCUCCAAAUUCUCUCCUACGUUGCAUCUGAUCUUCAACAUAUUCUAUUCAUAUACAUUUCUUUGCCAUUUUUUCUUCCCCAUAUAAGGCUAUAUUGAGAUAUUUAAGUUGUGGGCUGUAUACUAUCUUGAACCCCCGUUGGAGGUUUAUUAUUAGCUGCAGAGUCUGGUUUUCCUAUGUGAGUAAACAGCUUAUUUGAAAUUUGUAUACAAAGUGAAUGGGUUUGCGGUUUUGAUCAGAAAAAGUUCUGUUUUUAACAAAUGAUGGAGGGGGAUUUAUCACCCGGAAAUAUGUUGCAAGGUAAUGGUUCUUAUGGAGGUUUUAAUUUGCAAGGGCCGGUACGAGUUCAUCAGCAGCAGCAGCACCCCCUUGCACUCCAUCAACAACAUAGUUCUCAUCCUCGACAGGGGUCCUUAAUGGCUCGUCCCACUAGUCAUGAGAAUUUUUUGCUUACAAUUGGAAACACACAAGAUUGUGAACAGACAAUUUCCUUUGCAGACUACAACAAAGGGGAGAGGGUAAAACCUGCGAGUGAUGAGGAUGAGCCGAGUUUAACGGAAGAUGCCACUGAUGGUCGUAAUGAUCCAAUUGGAGGAAAGAGGGCAUCCCGAUGGCAACGUGUGAAAUGGACUGACUCUAUGGUCCGGUUAUUAAUUACUGCUGUUUCUUACAUUAGUGAGGAGGCAGCCACUGAAUAUGGUUGUAGUGGUGGGAGAAGGAAAUUUGCAAAUUUACAUAAAAAAGGGAAGUGGAAAUCAGUGUCCAAAGUCAUGGCCGAAAGGAGUCAUUUUGUUUCACCUCAACAAUGUGAGGAUAAAUUUAAUGACCUUAACAAAAGGUACAAAAGACUUAACGAGAUCCUAGGUAGAGGAACUUCUUGUGAGGUUGUUGAGAAUCCAACACUUUUGGAUAUGAUGGAUCACAUCUCUGAGAAAGCAAAGGAGGAAGUUAGAAAGAUUCUAAGCUCAAAACAUUUGCACUAUGAAGAGAUGUGUUCAUAUCAUAAUGGAAAUCGAUUGCACCUUCCCCCUGAUCCUGAUUUGCAGCGUUCUUUGCGCUUAGCACUUAGAAGUGGAGAUGAUCAUGAUGAAAAUGAUGUGAAAAGGCACCUGCAGGAUGAUAAUGAUGAAGUUGAUCAAGAAGCUGAAUUGGAUGGUCAUGAUGAAUAUGAAGAUAAUCAUGUUUUGAAUGGGGAUCGUAGGGUACAGGAAAUACCAGGAAACUCUAUGAAGAGGUUAAAACAAUGUCAGAAUCAUGAAGAAUUUAGUUUCGGAAGUUCUUUUAAUUCUCUAGAUUGCAACAAAACCUUCAAUUUCCAGCCAGAUAUUACCGAUGCUGAUGUGAGUCAAGUGCUACCUGAAAGCAUGAAAGCGAACAUGUCACAAAAGCAGUGGCUGAGUCAUCGUAGUCUUCAAUUAGAAGAACAAAGGCUACAUAUUGAAGCACAAAUGUUGGAACUCGAGAAAGAGCGGUUCAAAUGGCAGAGAUUUUGCAAGAAAAAGGACAGAGAACUGGAGAUGACGAAGAUGGAAAUUGAGAGGAUGAAACUUGAGAAUGAACGCAUGUCUUUGGAGUUAAGACGAAGGGAGAUGGGUAUCGACAACAGUUGAUCGCGUCCUAUGGUGCUAAACUUAGCUUGAUGAUCGAGGAAUUGGUUGAGCAUAUCUAUAAUUCUACUUUCCCGUAUGAAGUAGCAGGCAGGGGUGCAAAAAAAGUUUAUUUUGUUUAGUAACAUACUUGCGCAGUGAGUUCUUUCUGGUUGUAAAAUGACUUUGGAAGCUUGUCAGUGCUUACAAAGAUCUGCAAUGGUCUGUGCCUUUUCUACUUGUAAGUUUGGAAGAUUUAGUAUGUGGCUUCAGUUUCAAUUAAUCUACGGCUUGUGUUAUUGUGGUACUAUUUCUCCUGAUCAAAGAUUGUUCAUUCCGGGACGCUAGAUGAGUGACAACUUUCUUUUGGCACAAUAAAUGAUCCACUCAGUUGAUAGAAAACUCCAAGUAGGUAAUGCUAUCUUGAAGCUAGAUUUGGGAAGGCAUGUGGUCGGGAUAACUGGCAUUUUUUAUUUACAAUUCUUAGCUAAUUCGGUUUUGAGGCAUGGAUUGAUAAGAUCAGACUAUGCGUAUCUGAUUUCUGGUUCUCAGUUUUGAUUAUAUGACAGUUUAAUACAAAAUAUUAGGCAGUGCAUCGAUGGACGGACUCCUGGCCGACGUAUUAUGUAUUCUGUUAGUCCAAUCAGUGCUAUCUUCGAUGCCUAUAUUUUUGCUUCAAACCCUUGAACCACCGAUUGUGUUCUUAUAAAAGUUUUGAGUCUUAUCUUUUUUACAGUUCAAUCAGUGCUAUCUUCUACGCCUAUAUUUUUGCUUCAAACCCUUGAACCACCGAUUGUGUUCUUAUAAAAGUUUUGAGUCUUAUCUUUUUUACAGUUCAAUCAGUGCUAUCUUCUACGCCUAUAUUUUUGCUUCAAACCCUUGAACCACCGAUUGUGUUCUUAUAAAAGUUUUGAGUCUUAUCUUUUUUACA